This 1015-nucleotide unclassified non-coding RNA is filed under the name Caenorhabditis elegans. RNAcentral's name for it is "Non-coding transcript of protein-coding gene dlat-2". The record is from RNAcentral. Lineage: Eukaryota; Metazoa; Nematoda; Chromadorea; Rhabditida; Rhabditidae.
AUGCUAGCCGGUAGUCAGGCUCUUCGCCACCUUUCUACUGCUGCACAAAACCAAGGGAGCUUGCGGUCCUGCAGUCAAGCUUCUUCUGAUUCAAUAUGGUCUGGAAAAUCGAAAAAUUGAUGGAACAGGCCCAAAAAACAAAAAUAUUCUGAAAGGCGAUGUUAUGAAAAUAGUUGAAGCUGAAAAGCUGAAGCCGGUGGCUCAUCAUGCACAUGCUCCAAAAGAAACACAUAUUGAAAAUAAAUCUAUUGAAAAGAAAUCAGACAUUUUCGGCGCCAACAAUCGCAGUCUCCGUCAUCACCAAGAUAUUCCUCUCAGCAAUAUUCGAGCAACAAUCGCAAAACGAUUGACAGCUUCUAAACAGCAAAUUCCUCACGAAUAUCAAGGUGUUGACGUUCGAAUUGACGAUAUUCUGGCGUUGAGACAGAAAUUGAAAAAAUCCGGAACUGCUGUUUCGCUCAACGACUUUAUCAUAAAAGCCGCAGCCCUUGCACUGAGGUCCGUGCCGACAGUAAAUGUUCGAUGGACUCCAGAAGGAAUCGGUCUCGGAUCAGUCGAUAUUUCGGUCGCUGUGGCUACUCCAACCGGCCUUAUCACUCCAAUUGUAGAGAAUUCUGAUAUUUUGGGCGUUUUGGCGAUUUCUAGCAAAGUGAAGGAGUUGUCGGGAUUGGCGCGAGAAAGCAAAUUAAAACCACAACAGUUCCAGGGAGGAUCUUUUACAAUUUCGAAUCUUGGAAUGUUCGGAAGUGUGACCAACUUCACAGCCAUCAUAAAUCCACCGCAAUGUGCCAUUUUGACGAUCGGAGGAACUCGUUCUGAAGUUGUAUCUGUUGAUGGACAAUUGGAGACACAAAAAUUAAUGGGUGUCAAUCUUUGUUUCGACGGACGAGCAAUCUCCGAAGAAUGUGCAAAACGAUUCCUUCUUCACUUCUCCGAAUCGCUUUCUGAUCCGGAAUUGCUCAUUGCUGAACCACUUUCUCCAGAACUCGAUUUUGAUUUUUCGCGUUUAUUGUAG